Long non-coding RNA from Tupaia belangeri chinensis (Chinese tree shrew), 570 nucleotides. RefSeq lists it as uncharacterized. Lineage: Eukaryota; Metazoa; Chordata; Mammalia; Scandentia; Tupaiidae. The record is from RefSeq and is a predicted model, not a curated record. The transcript is spliced from 3 exons.
AGCAUAUGUGUUUCUACCAUGUCUAGGUGUAGAAUAGAGCUAAAGGGGCUUGGAGAAGUUAAAACCUAAGCAUGUCAAGCAAUCGGUGGCAGAAAAUGAGUCCAAAUCCUGAUGCCAGAUAAUUUUGAAUGACUGCUGUGUGCUAGGCACAAUGCUAGACACUGAAGCUUGUAUUUGUGGCAUUCUGGCAAGAUAAGCAUUAAGGAGACACAAGGCUGCCCAAGAUUCCUGGCAAGGAGGGGAAGAAUUCAAAGUGGGAUCUCUCGCCUUCUCUUUCUCAUCAGACUGCAAGCUCCAAACCCCUACCUAUAGCAACUCUCCAUAGGACCUUUUCCUUGGAAUGAAAUUCUUAUGAAUGGGGAAUAAGGCUUUUCAACACUUUUUGUAAAGCCCCGGGGAACUGUGUCUGAGCUGGACCUAGAGCAAGGCUGUAAUAUCCCUUGAUGAGAAGGAUCUGAUCCUGAGCAGCAGGAUACAAAUCUGGGGACCUAAACCAGGCUCUUGGACCCUGUGUUCAGGAACCCCAGAGAAGCAUUACAACUACUACAGAGGUCCUGAAAACUGGCAUGG